Molecule: transfer RNA, 73 nt
Filed under: Paramuricea clavata
Lineage: Eukaryota; Metazoa; Cnidaria; Anthozoa; Malacalcyonacea; Plexauridae
Rfam family: tRNA
About the family: Transfer RNA (tRNA) molecules are approximately 80 nucleotides in length. Their secondary structure includes four short double-helical elements and three loops (D, anti-codon, and T loops). Further hydrogen bonds mediate the characteristic L-shaped molecular structure. tRNAs have two regions of fundamental functional importance: the anti-codon, which is responsible for specific mRNA codon recognition, and the 3' end, to which the tRNAs corresponding amino acid is attached (by aminoacyl-tRNA synthetases). tRNAs cope with the degeneracy of the genetic code in two manners: having more than one tRNA (with a specific anti-codon) for a particular amino acid; and 'wobble' base-pairing, i.e. permitting non-standard base-pairing at the 3rd anti-codon position.
Source: Rfam by way of RNAcentral
GACCGCGUAGCUCAGUUGGCAGAGCAUUGGGCUAGUAUUCCAAAGGUCGUAGGUUCAAUUCCCACCGUGGUCA